Molecule: ribosomal RNA, 819 nt
Filed under: uncultured Actinomycetes bacterium
Lineage: Bacteria; Bacillati; Actinomycetota; Actinomycetes
Description: bacterial SSU rRNA
Rfam family: Bacterial small subunit ribosomal RNA
Source: RNAcentral
ACUCCUACGGGAGGCAGCAGUGGGGAAUAUUGCACAAUGGGCGUAAGCCUGAUGCAGCAACGUCGCGUGAGGGACGACGGCCUUCGGGUUGUAAACCUCUUUUAGUAGGGAAGAAGCGAAAGUGACGGUACCUGCAGAAAAAGCACCGGCUAACUACGUGCCAGCAGCCGCGGUAAUACGUAGGGUGCAAGCGUUAUCCGGAAUUAUUGGGCGUAAAGAGCUCGUAGGCGGUUUGUCGCGUCUGCUGUGAAAUCUGGGGGCUCAACCCCCAGCCUGCAGUGGGUACGGGCAGACUAGAGUGCGGUAGGGGAGAUUGGAAUUCCUGGUGUAGCGGUGGAAUGCGCAGAUAUCAGGAGGAACACCAAUGGCGAAGGCAGAUCUCUGGGCCGUAACUGACGCUGAGGAGCGAAAGCAUGGGGAGCGAACAGGAUUAGAUACCCUGGUAGUCCAUGCCGUAAACGUUGGGAACUAGAUGUAGGGGCCAUUCCACGGUUUCUGUGUCGCAGCUAACGCAUUAAGUUCCCCGCCUGGGGAGUACGGCCGCAAGGCUAAAACUCAAAGGAAUUGACGGGGGCCCGCACAAGCGGCGGAGCAUGCGGAUUAAUUCGAUGCAACGCGAAGAACCUUACCAAGGCUUGACAUAUACCGGAAAAGGCUGGAAACAGUCUCCCCGCAAGGUCGGUAUACAGGUGGUGCAUGGUUGUCGUCAGCUCGUGUCGUGAGAUGUUGGGUUAAGUCCCGCAACGAGCGCAACCCUCGUUCUAUGUUGCCAGCACGUUAUGGUGGGAACUCAUAGGAGACUGCCGGGGUCAACUCGGA